Molecule: non-coding RNA, 1242 nt
Organism: Cherax quadricarinatus
Lineage: Eukaryota; Metazoa; Arthropoda; Malacostraca; Decapoda; Parastacidae
Source: RefSeq, a predicted model, not a curated record
UUUUAUUUUCUGCAGAUGUAUCUGGUAAUGCGGGUGGGUCCUCGGAAGAAACAUCAUCUGGUAGUGGUACUGGUUCUUCAUUAGUAGCUUCUAUGUUGUUCACUACGGAACCAGAGAAAAGUUCUUAGAGGCCUGGAGUUUACCUGGAGAGAGUUCCGGGGGUCAACGCCCCCGCGGCUCGGUCUGUGACCAGGCCUCCUGGUGGGCCAGUGAAGAGGCAGGGCCAGGAGCUAUGAAUCGACCCCUGCAACCAAACCUAGAAGAUACGCACUGAGACGACAAUUCCAGCAAGCAACCGAGUGAUAAGACAUCACUGAAGCAUCGCAACAAGAGUGAGAACACUACAACUUGUGCACUCGCCAGGAGAAACCUCUAAACUACACGUAUCCUGGAUAAGAUAUAUCGAUUAAAGGAACGUGUGCGGUCUCAGGAAGUUUUAGCAGCGUCCAGUAAAAUAAGAUGAUGGAAGAAUUUGUAGGAUGUGAAGAUAAAGUUCUCCAUAGUGGUAAUGAUGAUACAAAGUUUACAUGCUGGAGACCAUUCUCACUCGACUCACUCCCAGUUGUUGAAGGGUUUAGUUCAUAUGAAGAGUUUCACGAUAUAGUAAGAAACUGUGCACAUGGAUGACUAUCGAGAGAUACGGAGAAUCGGCAAAAUGAAACCAUAUUGCUUGACAAAACACACUCACACACACCUGCUAAAAAAAACUACCAGAUCUGUGUGGGCUCUGGUAUGGCAUCAGCGUCCCCGAUGAUGGUCAGAAUAACUGGUACGGAAAUGUCAGCUUUACUGUAAACUUCAGGAGUUUCCUUCAGAAAAUUAAAAAUUAUAAUAUCUAUUUCAUGGAAGUUGUUGAUUAUAGUGCGAGCAAUGCAACGAGACUUUUGAUAACAAAUAAAAUGCUCCCGCUUCCCAGCUACGACCCGCACAGCUAUGGAGGUCCAUGGUACUCCCAAGAUGGGAGAGACUGGUUUCUUACUGACUGUCGCAGUACGAUCGUAAAUAUAAUAAAUAUGGUCACAAAGUUGAAUUUUUUCUCGAACUUUCUGAUCACCAACGUGCUUCUUUGCUGGACAUGUCAUCAGUAGAUCCCGUCAACCAUUCUGACGCUAAUAAUAAUCAGACCAAGCAUAAAUGCAGGAAAUUCGGAUCGGGUCAAAAGUUUAAUACCGGUGAGUGCCCUUUUCCAUAUUCCGUAGAGGAAACUCGAGAGAUAUUAAUAAGCUAUGAUUACUAAACUAA